RNAcentral lists this long non-coding RNA (940 nucleotides) under Naja naja (Indian cobra). RNAcentral describes it as "lncRNA (ENSNNAG00000009849.1)". Lineage: Eukaryota; Metazoa; Chordata; Lepidosauria; Squamata; Elapidae. The record is from RNAcentral.
CUGUUCUAGAACCUGAUUUUUGAUGCAACUUACUUUAUGAUACUAUUUCCUUUACAGGUCCCUUUCUAGAGAUAGAAGGAGAGAGAGAUCACUCUCAAGGGAGAGAAAUCAUAAGCCUUCCCGUUCAUUUUCCAGAUCUCGUAGCCGUUCCAGGUCAAAUGACAGGAAAUAGAACUUCAGGAAGAAUGGUGUACAGGAAGUCACAUUUUGGUCUGAAGACAAACUACCCUCUCAGACAUUUUAUUGCUGACGAAUGGAUUAUUCAUAUGGUCACCCUGCAAUAAACAAAAGGAGAGGAAUGAAACUGGCAUUUCACUUGGGGUUCCAGGUUGACUGGUUUGCCAACUUGUCUCCACCCUGAUUACAGAAUGAUUGAACAAUCUGGUGAGGUCAUUAAUGUACAGAACCAGCCUCCUGUUCAAAUGACCAUUUGACAUUUGUUCCUAAUUGUUUGUUUUAAUAGAUUGAACCUCAACACUUAGAAUAGUUUAUCUUGUUUCUGCUGGCUUUUGUGAAGACUGACAGUGACACUCUCUCACCUUUCUAAACUAAUAGGGAUAUGACCUCAGGGUUUUUCCCCCCUAUUGUUAAUAUUCAGACAUUUGACUAACACAUGUAAGCACAAUCCUAAAGAUCCAUUAAUCUGGAAGUUGGCUAGUGGCCUAAACCAUGUUCAUGCUGCAUACUGAAUCCAUGGUUUGCUUAACUGAAUAAAUCUCAGUUGGCUGGAUUCACCCAGUACACUAAGCCAUUAACAAGGAAAUUGAUUUUCCAAAACUGGAAGUUCAUUUUUGAGAAAAUAGCCUAUAUAGAACCUCCUGUACCCUGAAACUGUUUAUUACCAGGGGACAAUAGAAAUAACAAAAAUAACAACCUUGACUAAAUUCAAAUACACAAAAGUAUACCAAACCAUUUGACUAUUCAGAACCUCUGCUCAUAU